AGAUGAGAUUUUUUGUACAAAAAAAAAUAUAGAUGAGAUUCGAGUUCACACAAUCACCACGCUGUCUUUUUCAUUUUUGGUUCCAACUUCAAUUUUAUAUUAACCAAAAAAAUAAUACAUGAUUUUAGGCCACGCUGUUUCAUUUUUGGUUCCAACUUCAAUUUUAUAUUAACCACAAAAUAAUAGGGUGAAUUGGUUUGAGUGAAUUGGGCUCAAACCGAGAAUAUAUAAAUAAAUAAACUGGACACAAUCUAUACUAUAUUAAAAGGAAGAUAUCCUCAAUAGCUGGGGUGUCCACGUCGGCAAUUAAAAUCAACCAAUAGGGUUGAUUCAUUCCUCCACGUCAACACGAGAUUGGGCUGAUCUUGGGCUGUUAAUUUUUUUCAACCGUAAAAAGGAAAAAAAACAUGUGGGUCAUGAACCCAGGUCUGGAAAAUCGGAUAGUGUCGACAUCUCAACUCUUCGAUCUUCAGUAACCCUAAAACAGACAGGCCAUUAAUCUCUUUGACAUCACAUCUCUUCGCCCUUUCCCCUUCUUCAGCGGAUCGUUCAAUCAACACCAUAUUCAUGAGUGUGCAAUGAAUCAUCUGGAAAUCUCAUUAAUGGGUUCCUUUCGUCUCCCUCUCAGAUUCUUUAUAUCAUUCAUAUUUUUCCUCACAUUUGUGACACACAAAAUUCUCUCAAGCCAUGAAUUCUAACAGCAAAUCAACCGUUUCCGGCGAUUUUACCACGAAGAAACCGAACGGAAAGGAUGUUGUCUCCUCCGCGAGCCGGUCGAACGAGACGGGCAAACCCAAACCUUCAUCUCUAUUGCUAAAUAUGUUUCCGGUGAUCCUAAGAAGAGAUGACAAGAGUAGAUGAGCAGUAGGGGUUUCUUUAAUUGGUUCAAAGUAUAUGGCUGCUUCAAUCUCAGCAAGACUUAUUCGCACUGUUGGAUCCUAUGCAGCUUUAGGACGCAGCAGCAGUAUUAUCUCAGUUUCUAAGCUCUUUCUUAUAUGCAAAAUUGUUGAUGUCUACAUCACUUCGAUUGCAUAUACAGACUCACCAAAUCGAAGUAGUCUGUUGGCUUAUACACAAAUAUCUUAUUGGCGUCAAUGUCGUUCUCGGAUAUGAGGUACCACCAUCGUUUCUUUUUUGAAAUGCUCUCUUUGUGAUUGUAUCUAUGUUGAGUCUAAUCUACAGAUGGAGCAAAUGCGGUUGGGGAAGACUCUACAAGCAAUUUUUUCUUGAGCUAUCUGAAGUUUCAUCAAGGAUUGCGAGGGCCAUUUCUUGAGUCAAUGAGAUCUGCUUCUUAAAGACAAGUUCUGAUGUUGUGUUGUUUAAUGUUGUGUCUUGAUUUGGCAGUUUUGCUUUGUUCUUUUAACAUAACCGAUGGUUGGGGGUAAGAGAUAAAAGGUUCACUCCAGAACUUGAAGUUUUUAGGUAUGUUGGUGAUAAGGAUUGCCGUAGGGAUUUGUAGGGAUUUGCGUAAGGUAAUGCAUGAUUAUGUCAACAAGGGCUCUAAGACGAGAGUAAAUUUUUUUGUCUUUCUCAAGAAACUUUGGGUUUAUCAGCUGUGUAUAAUUAUAUUGUUUUGUUUGUUUUGUUUCAGAAAUCUUUGUUACCGUUUGAUGUGUUGUUGACAACGUAUGAUAUAGCAUUGGUGGAUCAAGACUUCCUUUCUCAGGUUCCGUGGUAACUGAUGAAGCUCAAAUACUCAAGAAUCCCAACAGUGUAUGUUACCUACCUAGAAAAAUUCAUCGAGUUGUGAAAUGAAUGAUAGAUCACUGGUUAGUUGAUACUGUGAAUUCAAGAUUAACUUCCAUUCAUUUCACACAUCUCUUAUGUAGCCGUUUAUAUGGAUUUAUUGUAUCGGUUUACUUUCCAGCCGAAAGCUCUCCACUUCUAUUUUGACUCCUGAUUGUACAUUCAUGAUUUACUUUCUCAAAAGACAGGUCAUUAUGUGAGACAAAGAAAUUAUGUGAGAGGUUGACUGAGAGUCUGAAAACAAGUAUUGUGCGAAAGGUUGCCAUGAAUGGGCUGAUUAAUUUAUUAUUACAUGUUGGCUAUUCUCCCAGCCAAAGUUUCAACAAACGUGUUAUCAUUUAAAUGUUUGGGUAUAACAUCAAAAUUGGUCCAUUACAAACUUGAUACAGUCAUUUUAUAAUUGGGCUAGCAUUCCAUUUUUUGCGAGCUGGUCUUUUGGUGAACUUCGAAAUGAAGUAUCGUUUUAAUAAUUAUUUCUUCGUUAAAUCAGUGCUUAAUCAUGAGAUGGUUAACUAAUAAAUAUCUUAUGACAUAUAUUUUUCCUUAGAACAUAGUUUAUAUAAUCUUUAAUAAUUUUAAUAUAUAUAAAUAAAUUGAAAAUAUGAAAAGUUAUUAUUCAUAUUUAUUUAUGGAUAUUGUUUGCUCUAUAUUUCUCACAUGUGCAACUGCAAAGUGCUUCUUAACCUCAAGUGUUUUUACAUGUGAUAUACAUAUUUAUCUCUUAGGUUUACCAUUUUUGAUAACCUAAACCUAAUUCCAGACCUUAGACAAUGAUAAUUUUUAUAUAUAUCUACCAUUUAUAAAAUUUCAGAAAGCUUUUAAGUUGGGUUUGAAGUUCUCACUCAUACCUGUUUUCGAGAGGUCAUUCAAGACCAUGUUUGAGCAAGUAUCUCAGCCUUGCAUAAUAACUGAGCACACAAACACUAUCCAGCAAACAGAAAAAAAGCUAGAACAUCAAAUAAUAGUAUUAAUAUUCAAAAUUAUUUCCAAAAAUCUGAUUAAUUAAAUAAUUAAAAUAAGAAACUGUAAAAUUAAUAUUACAUCAACAACGGUAAGAAAGUAAAUCUUCUAUAAAUUUACAACUAAUAAUAUUUCAAAUCAUGAAGUAAAAUUUUCUUUCUAUCACAAACAAACUUAAGAAAAACACAGAAAUUAAAUAGCAACAAUAAAUAUUAAAUUUAAAUUUUGGUUAAAAAGGUUGACAAAAUUAUUUUGGUUAAAACGAUAAAUUGAAAACAACAAAUAAAGAACCGGUAUACAAGUCGGUGGUGCUUUCUUUUAAAGACAAGUAACAAAAAUAAAACUUUGUAAUUUUAAAACCAAUCAAAA
Brassica rapa (field mustard) is the source of this 3075-nucleotide long non-coding RNA. RefSeq lists it as uncharacterized. NCBI's taxonomy places the organism in Eukaryota, Viridiplantae, Streptophyta, Magnoliopsida, Brassicales, Brassicaceae. The record is from RefSeq and is a predicted model, not a curated record.